AAUGACACGGAUUUCUUCAGCUCUUA
Molecule: non-coding RNA, 26 nt
Filed under: Cricetulus griseus (Chinese hamster)
Lineage: Eukaryota; Metazoa; Chordata; Mammalia; Rodentia; Cricetidae
Source: RNAcentral